CGGCGGGCGGGUGAGUAACACGUGGAUAACCUACCUAUAAGACUGGGAUAACUUCGGGAAACCGGAGCUAAUACCGGAUAAUAUAUUGAACCGCAUGGUUCAAUAGUGAAAGACGGUUUUGCUGUCACUUAUAGAUGGAUCCGCGCCGCAUUAGCUAGUUGGUAAGGUAACGGCUUACCAAGGCGACGAUGCGUAGCCUACCUGAGAGGGUGAUCGGCCACACUGGAACUGAGACACGGUCCAG
This 244-nucleotide ribosomal RNA is filed under the name uncultured Staphylococcus sp. Its description in RNAcentral is "partial 16S ribosomal RNA". It matches the Rfam family "Bacterial small subunit ribosomal RNA", at positions 96 to 334 of the family's 1533-position model. The record is from RNAcentral. Lineage: Bacteria; Bacillati; Bacillota; Bacilli; Caryophanales; Staphylococcaceae.